UGUGCAUGUAAAUGUGUGAGCAUGUGUGCACUUGCAUGUAUGCAUGUGCAUGUAUGUGUGCAUGUUUAUGUAUGU
Molecule: microRNA precursor, 75 nt
Filed under: Tupaia belangeri (northern tree shrew)
Lineage: Eukaryota; Metazoa; Chordata; Mammalia; Scandentia; Tupaiidae
Description: miRNA (ENSTBEG00000019846.1)
Source: RNAcentral